CGAAAGCCUGACGGAGCAACGCCGCGUGUGGGAAGAAGGCCUUUGGGCUGUCAACCACUUUUCUCAGGGAAGAAGCCCUGACGGUACCUGAGGAAUCAGCCUCGGCUAACUCCGUGCCAGCAGCCGCGGUAAUACGGAGGAGGCAAGCGUUAUUCGGAAUUAUUGGGCGUAAAGCGUCCGCAGGGGGCGCAUCAAGUCUGCUGUUAAAGGCUGGAGCUUAACUCCGGUAGAGCAGUGGAAACUGGUGCGCUAGAGGGCGACAGGGGUAGAGGGAAUUCCCAGGGUAGCGGUGAAAUGCGUAGAGAUUGGGAAGAACACCGGUGGCGAAAGCGCUCUACUGGGCCGUGACUGACCCUGAGGGACGAAAGCUAGGGGAGCG
RNAcentral lists this ribosomal RNA (379 nucleotides) under uncultured cyanobacterium. RNAcentral's name for it is "bacterial SSU rRNA". It matches the Rfam family "Bacterial small subunit ribosomal RNA", at positions 376 to 770 of the family's 1533-position model. Lineage: Bacteria; Bacillati; Cyanobacteriota. The record is from RNAcentral.